This is a non-coding RNA of Heterocephalus glaber (naked mole-rat), 299 nucleotides long. NCBI's taxonomy places the organism in Eukaryota, Metazoa, Chordata, Mammalia, Rodentia, Bathyergidae. The record is from Rfam.
GGAAGUGAGGGUGGUCUGGCUGCGACAUCUGCCAUCCCAUUGAUCCCCAGGGUUGAUUUGGCUGAUCUGGCUGGCUAAGCGGGUGUCCCCUUCCUCCCUUACCGCUCCCUGUGCCCUCCCCGGGGCUGCAUGUGUAGAGGAAGAGGGGGGAGCCCCCCCCCAGAGGCAGACCUUGCCUCAGUCGAAGGUAUAGGAGGAGUAGCUUCACUCCCCUGCUAGAAACUCCAAACAAGCUCUCAAAGUCUGAAGUGUCCAAACCAAUUCAUAUUUACCAUCAGUGCCAUAUAACAGUUCCAGUU